CCCAAUUUCCCCUAAACCCUAUACUUUCCUAGUUGCAGGGUACAAUGCACCUAGCUAGUAGCUAGCUGGGUACACCACAUCAUGCAAUACCAGAUAUAUGCAUAUAUAAUGCAUCGAUGGAGUUGGAAAAGGCCACGCCAAUGUGAUUGCCACGUAUUGAAGGGCAAGGUGGGUUUGCCUUUGCUCACAUCACAUGCAACAGUGAGAUAACGGCCAUAAUAUAUGGCUUUC
RNAcentral lists this long non-coding RNA (231 nucleotides) under Prunus persica (peach). RNAcentral describes it as "long non-coding RNA (PPER_LNC000545)". Lineage: Eukaryota; Viridiplantae; Streptophyta; Magnoliopsida; Rosales; Rosaceae. The record is from RNAcentral.